Molecule: small RNA, 29 nt
Filed under: Bombyx mori (domestic silkworm)
Lineage: Eukaryota; Metazoa; Arthropoda; Insecta; Lepidoptera; Bombycidae
Description: ovarian small RNA-4172
Source: RNAcentral
AAACCAGAGUCGCAUUUGGUCUGCCCAGA